This 468-nucleotide ribosomal RNA is filed under the name uncultured bacterium. RNAcentral describes it as "partial 16S ribosomal RNA". It matches the Rfam family "Bacterial small subunit ribosomal RNA", at positions 28 to 507 of the family's 1533-position model. The record is from RNAcentral.
GACGAACGCUGGCGGCGUGCUUAACACAUGCAAGUCGAACGGAAAGGCCCUGCUUUGGUGGGGUGAACGAGUGGCGAACGGGUGAGUAACACGUGAGUAACCUGCCCUUGACUUUGGGAUAACUUCAGGAAACUGGGGCUAAUACCGGAUAGGAUCUCCUGCUGCAUGGUGGGGGUUGGAAAGUUUCGGCGGUUGGGGUUGGACUGGCGGCUUAUCAGCUGGUUGGUGGGGUAGUGGCUGACCAAGGCUUUGACGGGUAGCCGGCCUGAGAGGGUGACCGGCCACAUUGGGACUGAGGUACGGCCCAGACUCGUACGGGAGGCAGCGGGGGGGAAUAUUGCCCAAUGGGCGGAAGCCUGAUGCGGCAGCGCCGCGUGCGGGAUGACGGCCUUCGGGGUGAGAACCGCUUUCGCCUGUGACGAAGCGUGAGUGACGGUAAUGGGUAAAGAAGCACCGGCUAACUACGUG